Non-coding RNA from Erythranthe guttata (spotted monkey flower), 537 nucleotides. NCBI's taxonomy places the organism in Eukaryota, Viridiplantae, Streptophyta, Magnoliopsida, Lamiales, Phrymaceae. The record is from RefSeq and is a predicted model, not a curated record.
AUUAAUUUGUGAUUUUAUUAAUUAGUAAAUAAAGUAGAAAAAGAUGCAUGACACUUGGCAAUGAGUGAGGAUUUACACUAAUCCUACACUCAAGCAUGCUAAGUAAUCUCAAUAGACACUCUCAUGUCUUCUUCUCUCUCCACCUAUACCCCCACUUGUCUUCUCUUCACCAUCACCACCGAAGCACCACCUUCUCCAUCGGCCAACACCUCAAAAUUCUUCAAAAAUGAAAUAGAGAAAUCAAAAUGCAAAUCCCCUAUAUAAGCUUCACCCUUGAAUAUGCUAAGAACACCAUAAAAAAGACUUGCCCUCUUACGGGAGAUUUAAACUCCUCCCAACUUGAUAUCAAAGGUCUCACCUUCUCCAUUCAACUAGCUUGGUUCAAUCUUGGAGCCACUUCUUGAAGGAGGUUUUUCUUUCUUCGGCCAACACUCUUUGAUAGGUAAGAAAUCUCGAAUUUCUUGCUGCAAUCGAAGGGUAUCAUAGUAUGGAAAAGGAUUUUCAAAACUACCUAAAAGAUUUCCUCAAUUUUCGAAA